Molecule: unclassified non-coding RNA, 3040 nt
Filed under: Hevea brasiliensis (rubber tree)
Lineage: Eukaryota; Viridiplantae; Streptophyta; Magnoliopsida; Malpighiales; Euphorbiaceae
Source: RNAcentral
GAACAAAUUAAUAGGAAGCAACUGCAAAGCAAGCUUCCUUUCCAACUGUGUGUCGAUGAUAUGUAUAUGUAUAUGUAUAUACAAGGUGGACUACUUUUGCUGGAAAAUGAGUUAAGAUGAUAUUCAGCCAAACAUUGAUUAGAUUGCGGAAUCUCAAUGUUUGCGGAAUUAGAUUCGAACACCAACCCAACCUUAAAAAAAUAUUUUAAUUUUUUAAUUUUUAUGUUUUCUUACUAAUAAAAUUACAUGUGCUUGAGAUAUAUGCAAAUUGAUGAUCACAAGAUUUUCGCUAUAAUUUAAAAAAAAAGAAAGAACCCUUCAGUUUGUGCAGCUUUCAAAGCUACAUUGGAGGCUAAGCAAGUAGAUCGUCAAAGACUAAUUAAUUAUGUGAUAAAUUUUCAGAUGGGAUAAUUUUUUUUCUACUUAAGAUAUAGUGAAUUUAUUGUUGCUGUAUGAGAAUUAAUUUAAGAUUUGGAUCAAAUUUUUGAUUUUACAAGUGUUGCUAUUUGUGCAGAAUUAAUUAAUUAAUGCUGUUAUACAUUGUAAAUUUUGACGGUGAAAUCAUGUCUAGAGACUAUUUUCAAGCUUGAAUUAGCCAUAGAAAUUAAGAAGAAACUAAGAAAAAUUUCGAAAUUAAUUCAAUGCAAUGAAAGGAAGCAACCAAUUUGACUUGAAGCGUAUAUUUACUUAAUUUUAGAUAUGGAGUUAUUCAAGAUCCCUGUCAGAUGUACCUCUCUUUGUUCAUGUUAGUAGUAUGUUUCUUUGUUUAUAUGCUCCUCGAUGCACGUGGAAAUUCUCAUGUGCUGGAUUAUAUAUGUGUUUCUCUCCCUCCAUUUCCCAGGCGACAGCUAGAAGGCAGCAAGAGAAAAGAACUCAGAAACUGAAAAAAAUAGAACUCAGAAACUAAAAAAAAAAAUCUACUUCAGGAAGCCUCUGCAUCCUUGGGAAAUAACCUGUGGUAGAUCAGUGGACAAACAGGAGAAGAGAAGUAGCCUUUUGAGAAAGCAACAGCAAAGUACUUUAGGUUGAAAGUUUAUAGAAAAAUUGAUCCUUUAAGAAUUUGGAAAAUUGAACUUAAGUUGCGUAGGUCAAUACUCAAUAGCAAUGGGAAGUGGAAAGAAGAAAAUGACCUAGGUUGGGAAAGAAUGUGCGCAGGUUCACUUUUCUAGCGUAUUAGAAUAUUUAAUUAUUUAUCAUCAACUAAAAACUCUGAUUCUUGUGGAAUGCUCAGUGGUCACAUCUGCGACAAUCCCAGACGGCUUCCCUCUUCUUUUCUUCUUCCUGGGAAAGGCCCGAGUUUUGAAGCCAUACAUUAACUAGCAAAUAGGAGCAACUUGAGUCCAUCCUUCUGCUGAUCUUGAAGUGAAAAACCAUGGCUAUGGAAGAUGCAUAAAGGGGGACUAAGGGAGAACAAUCAGAGAGAGAAUUACUAAGUAGGAAUCUCCAUUACUUAAUAGUGUUGCUUACAAAGGAAGCUUAUUUAAGCGGCAAUAUCAGAACACUUGUUUAUUAGUUGAACACCAAGUAGCUCUACUAGAGCCACUCAUGAGUAGCAAACAAGAGAAAAGGAACUUCAAAAAUCAUCUGAGGAAGCUUUGCUGGACCAGGCAAAUAGCUCAUAGACAAAACCAUUCUCCAUGGAUAUAGAUUUCACACUGCUGUCCCAUGAUACUUCCUUGCAGCCUCCCUACUGUCAAUGGUGGUCUUGUAAUUCUCAUCCGUUGUAUAAGGUCUUGAUGCAAAAUUGAACUUACCAUAUCUCUUUGAAGCUUCCCUGCUGUCAAUGGUUUCAGUGAAGCCUGGCUCAGUAUACCGGGAGUUAGGAGCAGUAUGGACAGAAGGCUUGGCAGCUUCUUUCAGAAUUCCAAUGGCUGCAUUGAUAUCACUUGUAGGUUCGGAGAGUUUGGACUCAGGUGGUGAGGUCCAUGUUGUAGGACUUGGCCUGACCCACCCGCCGCUGGUGAUCAUGGGAGGCUCAACUGGGGUAGCUUCCUUUCUGUCAAUGGUUUCUGUAUAGGCUGGUUCUGUAUACCUGAAACGGGGAGCAGUAGUGGUAGAAGGUUUGGCAGAUUCCUUGAAGAAUCCUGUGGCAGGGUUGACAUCGCUUGUUGGCUUGGAGAAGGUGGAAUUGGGAGUUGUACCCAAUGUUGAAUGACUAGGCCUAGGCCAUCCACCGGUGGUGACCUUUGCUGGUUCCACGGCGCCACCCUGCUUGUUGAAGUAAUCAUCAUAGCUGUCACUUCGGUAUGCAUUACCACUGGGCUUCUGCCAUUCCUUGUUGCCGUAAUCAUUGAACUCGCUAUUAUAGCCACCGUUAUUACCGGGAAAGCCUGUGGGUUUAAGGGUCUGACGCCAAUUUGCUGGAUUCACUGUGCCAAACCUGGGUCUGCUGGCCUCAAUUUGCACUUUGGUGAUGAAAUCAUCGACCUUUGAUGGGCGAUCCUGAGAUGGACUUGAAGAACUGUGCCACCUUUCUUCAACAACUCCACAACCCUCCAGUGGACUGCAAGAAUUAUGAUGGUGUUCUGAGGCAAAGGGUGAAAUAACGUGUUCUUGAACGAUUGUUUCAGUUCUUGUAACAAAGAAAUCUGAGUUCUGAGCUGGACCAAAAGAAACAAUUGGCCUUUUCCUUCCUUCAGCAUCGACGAUGACUGGCCGGCAGACAUGAUCAGAGGCAUAGCUUGUUUUGCUCCAAUCAUCAGCUCGUGGUGAAUUGUAGGCAGAAGAACUUCUGUGCGGAUAAUUAUACCCAGCCAUCACUUAGCCUUCCUUCUCUAAAGCCCUCUACUAGUAUAGCACUUCCUUUUCUUGCUUAUGAAAGAUUUUAACAAUUUGCUCAUAUAUAUAUAGGAAAAUUGUGUUCUCCUACCAUCAAAUGAAGGUGAUGGAACAUUCAACUCUAUUGCGUGUAAAAGGAUCAUAUGCUGCUUUUAGCUCACGCUUUGAGAUUCUCUUGAAGUUCUUUCUAUGUAGAAUCAUAUUCUCAAUGUUGAUGAUCGUGACUUCCAAUGCUUCCCUAGAGUUGGAAAACUCAUUUUGG